UUAGAUCAGUCUGUGUUCGUGAGACCUGUGAAGGCACAAAAUACACUAAAGCCUUCAAAGCAAAAACACUGUGAAGGUACAAAAACAAACUUCUACAAUGUUUUUGCCAUGAAGGUUUGGUGUUUUUGUACCUUCACAAUGUUAUAUUGUGAAGGUUUUGUGUUGUUUUGUGCUUUUACGGGACUCACGAAAACAGACUGGUCUCACA
RNAcentral lists this non-coding RNA (208 nucleotides) under Cynara cardunculus (cardoon). The record is from miRBase by way of RNAcentral. RNAcentral also lists the same sequence under 1 other name. Lineage: Eukaryota; Viridiplantae; Streptophyta; Magnoliopsida; Asterales; Asteraceae.